GACUGGGGAUCAAUAAAUUUUGCUUAUCCCCCAAGCUUUUCACAGCUUAACACGACCUUUUUCGCCUAAAGCUCUUGGGUCAUCCAGGAAUCACUCAAAGUACGCUGACCCACAAGCAGACCCGAGUGUUGAGUUCGCGGGAGAGUAGGUUAUUGCCAGGGUUUUUAUUUUAUACUUUAAACCUUGAAUUUAUUUUUUAAAUGUUUAUAUUAUUUGAAUAAAACAUUCAAAUAAUAUAAAAAAUAAUAUAUAUAUUGACAUGGAUUAAACAAAGAUAUAUAUUAUUCUAUGUUGUAUAAACAAAUUGGCAAAAUAGAGAUGGAAGAUAAAAAUAUGGUCAAAGUAAUAAGAGUCUAUGGUGGAUGCCUAGGAGCUUUAAGGCGAAGAAGGUCGUGGUAAGCUGCGAAAAGCUUGGGGGAUAAGCAAACAUUUAUUGAUCCCAAGAUUACCGAAUGGAGUAAUCCA
RNAcentral lists this unclassified non-coding RNA (465 nucleotides) under Borreliella afzelii. Its description in RNAcentral is "partial contains 5S-23S ribosomal RNA intergenic spacer and 23S ribosomal RNA". The stretch from base 336 to 465 matches the Rfam family "Bacterial large subunit ribosomal RNA", at positions 1 to 130 of the family's 2925-position model. The record is from RNAcentral. Lineage: Bacteria; Pseudomonadati; Spirochaetota; Spirochaetia; Spirochaetales; Borreliaceae.